Molecule: ribosomal RNA, 497 nt
Filed under: uncultured bacterium
Lineage: Bacteria
Description: partial 16S ribosomal RNA
Rfam family: Bacterial small subunit ribosomal RNA
Source: RNAcentral
GAUGAACGCUGGCGGCGUGCCUAAUACAUGCAAGUCGAGCGAACAGACGAGGAGCUUGCUCCUCUGACGUUAGCAGCGGACGGGUGAGUAACACGUGGAUAACCUACCUAUAAGACUGGGAUAACUUCGGGAAACCGGAGCUAAUACCGGAUAAUAUAUUGAACCGCAUGGUUCAAUAGUGAAAGACGGUUUUGCUGUCACUUAUAGAUGGAUCCGCGCCGCAUUAGCUAGUUGGUAAGGUAACGGCUUACCAAGGCAACGAUGCGUAGCCGACCUGAGAGGGUGAUCGGCCACACUGGAACUGAGACACGGUCCAGACUCCUACGGGAGGCAGCAGUAGGGAAUCUUCCGCAAUGGGCGAAAGCCUGACGGAGCAACGCCGCGUGAGUGAUGAAGGUCUUCGGAUCGUAAAACUCUGUUAUUAGGGAAGAACAAAUGUGUAAGUAACUAUGCAUGUCUUGACGGUACCUAAUCAGAAAGCCACGGCUAACUACGUG